AGUGAACGCUGGCGGUAGGCCUAACACAUGCAAGUCGAACGGCAGCACAGGAGAGCUUGCUCUCUGGGUGGCGAGUGGCGGACGGGUGAGGAAUACAUCGGAAUCUACUCUGUCGUGGGGGAUAACGUAGGGAAACUUACGCUAAUACCGCAUACGACCUACGGGGCAAAGCAGGGGACCUUCGGACCUUGCGCGAUUGAAUGAGCCGAAGUCGGAUUAGCUAGUUGGCGGGGUAAAGGCCCACCAAGGCGACGAUCCGUAGCUGGUCUGAGAGGAUGAUCAGCCACACUGGAACUGAGACACGGUCCAGACUCCUACGGGAGGCGGCAGUGGGGAAUAUUGGACAAUGGGCGCAAGCCUGAUCCAGCCAUACCGCGUGGGUGAAGAAGGCCUUCGGGUUGUAAAGCCCUUUUGUUGGGAAAGAAAUCCAGCUGGCUAAUACCCGGUUGGGAUGACGGUACCCAAAGAAUAAGCACCGGCUAACUUCGUGCCAGCCGCCGCCGUAA
This 506-nucleotide ribosomal RNA is filed under the name uncultured bacterium. RNAcentral describes it as "partial 16S ribosomal RNA". It matches the Rfam family "Bacterial small subunit ribosomal RNA", at positions 29 to 523 of the family's 1533-position model. The record is from RNAcentral.